CUUUUUGGCCAUACUACCCUGAACACGUCCAAUCUUGUCUGAUCUCAAAAGCUAAGCAGGGUCGGGCCUGGUUAGUACUUGGAUGGGAGUGUGAGCAAUUGCUCCUGAGUCAGUCAGC
This 118-nucleotide ribosomal RNA is filed under the name Ochotona princeps (American pika). Lineage: Eukaryota; Metazoa; Chordata; Mammalia; Lagomorpha; Ochotonidae. The record is from RNAcentral.